Molecule: long non-coding RNA, 212 nt
Organism: Thamnophis elegans (Western terrestrial garter snake)
Lineage: Eukaryota; Metazoa; Chordata; Lepidosauria; Squamata; Natricidae
Exons: 3
Source: RefSeq, a predicted model, not a curated record
UAUAGAACGAGAAUGCUGUAGAGUUUGUUGCAAAUGUUUUGGGGAAGAUGGAAUUCAAGGGAUUCCUGGAUACCCUGGAAAUAAGGGAAGGACAGGUUUUGAUGGCUAUUCAGGCCAUCCUGGUGAAGAAGGAGGAAUUGGAAGUCGUGGUCUGAUGGGUUCUAAUGGAAUGCAAGGAGAAAUUGGAUGCAGUGGUGCUAGAGGUCCCAAGG